CCCCCGCACCGUCGCUCCCCGCCCUCUCUCCCCUGCCGCUGGAGGCAGCCAAUCAGAAGCCUCCUUCCUCCGCCCGCGUGACCAGCUCCGCCUGGGUGCAGCGGAAGGUGUAGAGGGAUGAGGUAGGUCCCUGCGGCGGUGGAGGGAUGUGCGGGCGGGCUAGGAUUCUGUGGUUGAGCCUGCGGCCUCUGGGGCCGCGAGUUUGAAUCCUGGUUGCAGCUCUUCCACUUACUAGCUGUGUGGCCAUGGAUAAGGUGCCCAUCCUCAGUUUCUCCGUCUGCAAAAUGAAAACGACUUUUUAGUGGUGUUGUGGACCCAUGAGAUGACGCAUGGAAGCAAGGGCGCAGUCGCUGUAGCUUGCUUUAUUUAUGAGAGAAAAGGAGCUGCCCAGGUGAGAGCACAAAGACCCGAGAAAACAGACCCAGAAAAGAUGGUUUUGGUUGCGGGCUAGGAAGGAGACGUGGCAGAUGAAGCUGGAGAAGUCCGAAGGAGUCCUUAAGUUUUGUAGGGCCUCCUUGGUGUGGGAAGGAGGUUAGUUUCUGCAGGGGUGAAGAACCAUGCAAGGGUAUUUAGCAGAGGGUUUUGUGCAGAUCACUCAGCUCCUGCGUGGAGAAUAAGGCGGGGAUGAAUGUGCUAAAGGCGAUCGAUGUUUAGGUAUUGCAGGACUUAAGAGAAGGGAAUGGGCACCUGGAUGAAAGGGUGAUAGGAGGUGGACAAUGGUGGAUUGUUUUAAAAGAAAUUAUGAGGGAGAGGGAGUCAAGGAUAAAUAUUCUGGUUGAGUAACUGCAUGCAUGUUUGUACCUUUCAGGGAGAGCUAGGAAAUGCUGAAGGGGUGGGCAGUAGAGAAGCAGAUGUUUAGAUUCAGACAGGCUCCCAACCCAGUGAAGAUCAAAGCUGUGACAGGCCAAGCCCCACAGUAUCUGAAGUUUCCCUGGAGGCUGCUCAGGGCACAUGGGAGUGUGGAAUGUAGCUACCAUUUUGUGCAAACGUUAGGUACUCCAUAAGCCUCUAAAAAAUUAGCAAUUUUAUGAGGACCUCGGACCAGAAGAAUGUGGCCAGCAUUCCAGUCAAGACAGGAUAGGAUUUUCACUGAAGCAGCCCAGUCUUUUCCUUCAACCAACUGAGAGGCUCCAAUAAAGUCUUGGGUAUUUACCCAGACCAGCCAAGGCUUUGGAGUCACUGGCAGGAAUCUGGGUAUCUAACUGUUUUCAGAGCAGAAGAAUAGGUGGGAAGGGAACGGCUGUGGAAGACACAUGCAUUUCCACUUCCUUCUGUAAAUGCAGCUCAGUACUCCCGGAUGCAAUGAUGUCUAGGAUUUGCUUCAAAACACAACAAAGGGAUGGGGAAGCAGAUGGGAGUGUAGAUGAGUCAAAAGUGGCCACAAGUUACUAAUUGUUAAAGCCACGUAAUGGGGAUGUGGAGAUUCGUCGUACUGUCUCUAUAUUUUUGUGGAUGUUUAAUGGGGAUGUGGAGAUUCAUUGUACUGUUUCUAUAUUUUUGUGGAUGUUGAAAAAUAUUUUCUUUUUCUUUUUUUUUU
This 1537-nucleotide long non-coding RNA is filed under the name Macaca fascicularis (crab-eating macaque). RNAcentral's name for it is "lncRNA (ENSMFAG00000051408.1)". Lineage: Eukaryota; Metazoa; Chordata; Mammalia; Primates; Cercopithecidae. The record is from RNAcentral.